This 239-nucleotide long non-coding RNA is filed under the name Capsicum annuum. RNAcentral describes it as "long non-coding RNA (CANN_LNC014803)". The record is from RNAcentral. Lineage: Eukaryota; Viridiplantae; Streptophyta; Magnoliopsida; Solanales; Solanaceae.
UUCGGAAUGAUCAUUUAUCAGGCGUGAAAGGAUGCAAAUACCCCUAAGUAACCUUUAAAAAUAAUGACCCAUCGAAGAAGAGGAUGGGGGUCACAGUGUGGGGCCCAUCGUAGGGAGCUAUCCUCUCGACGUGGGGCCAUCACAGGGCAUCCCCCUAUCAGUGAAGAGCCGACCAUGCUAGCGAGGUAGUGUCCCCUUAUGGGCUCCCUCACGGUGAGGGUCCAUCGCACAAUUGUCCC